RNAcentral lists this transfer RNA (76 nucleotides) under Escherichia coli. RNAcentral describes it as "tRNA-Lys". It matches the Rfam family "tRNA". From Rfam's summary of the family: Transfer RNA (tRNA) molecules are approximately 80 nucleotides in length. Their secondary structure includes four short double-helical elements and three loops (D, anti-codon, and T loops). RNAcentral also lists the same sequence under 5 other names. Lineage: Bacteria; Pseudomonadati; Pseudomonadota; Gammaproteobacteria; Enterobacterales; Enterobacteriaceae. The record is from RNAcentral.
GGGUCGUUAGCUCAGUUGGUAGAGCAGUUGACUUUUAAUCAAUUGGUCGCAGAUUCGAAUCCUGCACGACCCACCA